RNAcentral lists this ribosomal RNA (474 nucleotides) under uncultured bacterium. RNAcentral describes it as "bacterial SSU rRNA". It matches the Rfam family "Bacterial small subunit ribosomal RNA", at positions 335 to 799 of the family's 1533-position model. The record is from RNAcentral.
ACUCCUACGGGAGGCAGCAGUGGGGAAUAUUGCACAAUGGGGGAAACCCUGAUGCAGCCAUGCCGCGUGUGUGAAGAAGGCCUUCGGGUUGUAAAGCACUUUCAGUAGGGAGGAAGGUAGUGUAGUUAACACCUGCACUAUUUGACGUUACCUACAGAAGAAGCACCGGCUAACUCCGUGCCAGCAGCCGCGGUAAUACGGAGGGUGCGAGCGUUAAUCGGAAUUACUGGGCGUAAAGCGCAUGCAGGCGGCCUGUUAAGUCAGAUGUGAAAGCCCGGGGCUUAACCUCGGAAUUGCAUUUGAAACUGGCAGGCUAGAGUCUUGUAGAGGGGGGUAGAAUUUCAGGUGUAAGUCGGUGAAAUGCGUAGAGAUCUGAAGGAUACCAGUGGCGAAGGCGGCCCCCUGGACAAAGACUGACGCUCAGAUGCGAAAGCGUGGGGAGCAAACAGGAUUAGAUACCCUGGUAGGAUAGCG